UUAAAUUGGCAGGAGCCAUAAAAGUUUUGCAAACACUCAAGUAAGUCAAACCACAGAUAACUGUAUCUUGGAAAAUUAUGAUGGGAAAUUGCUAAACCCUGAGGGGACUGAGAGGUAGUUCUGCAGGUUCAUGACCUCACAGGGAAACUCUUUAAAUUCCAGUUGGAAGUUAAGCAGGAAAGUUUUCUUCUUUCUUUAUUUUAGGGACCAUGUUGAAGACAGCCCUUGAGAAGCAGCAGGAAAAAGGCUCGACUUCAUCUGCCAGAGCUGCCCUUCCACUUUUUCUUAGGCAUCAAAGUAAGACUUAGAAACAUCCUUCACUUUCUGGCCAGGGAUUGAAUAGAUUUCUCUCCACAGAGAACAGGAAACUGCCAUUAUGAGAAUUUUCAAGGAGCUGACACAUGAUGAGAUUUAGAAUUCACAUUUUUGCAUAUUCAAAGAGGAUUUUAAAUGAGGAUAUAGUACUUAAAAUUAAGGACAUUGUGAAGAAGGCAACCAAGUCUAAGGCAAGGUUUCAUAUAAUUUAACUUUUAAAUACAUUAAAGUUGAAGAUGUGCAAAGUAUAUUUUAUUGGAAAUCAUCUGUUUGCUCAUAAGAGGUUCGCCGUUUCCAAGUCCCAGAGACAUAUCUCCAACAAGUGGCGCCACAAACAGGGACUUGAAGGAAGACUGAACAAAGCUGAGAGCCCUGCAGAAAGAGACAGAAAAUAA
RNAcentral lists this long non-coding RNA (710 nucleotides) under Bos grunniens (domestic yak). Its description in RNAcentral is "lncRNA (ENSBGRG00000025619.1)". Lineage: Eukaryota; Metazoa; Chordata; Mammalia; Artiodactyla; Bovidae. The record is from RNAcentral.